Molecule: ribosomal RNA, 462 nt
Filed under: uncultured bacterium
Lineage: Bacteria
Description: partial 16S ribosomal RNA
Rfam family: Bacterial small subunit ribosomal RNA
Source: RNAcentral
GACGAACGCUGGCGGCGUGCUUAACACAUGCAAGUCGAACGGAAAGGCCCUUCGGGGUACUCGAUUGGCGAACGGGUGAGUAACACGUGGGUGAUCUGCUCUGCACUUUGGGAUAAGCCUGGGAAACCGGGUCUAAUACCGAAUAUGAUCAUCGGCUUCAUGGUCGGUGGUGGCAAGCUUUUGCGGUGUGGGAUGGGCCCGCGGCCUAUCAGCUUGUUGGUGGGGUAAUGGCCUACCAAGGCGACGACGGGUAGCCGGCCUGAGAGGGGCACCGGCCACACUGGGACUGAGAUACGGCCCAGACUCCUACGGGAGGCAGCAGUGGGGAAUAUUGCACAAUGGGCGCAAGCCUGAUGCAGCGACGCCGCGUGAGGGAUGACGGGCUUCGGGUUGUAAACCUCUUUCAGCACAGACGAAGCGAAAGUGACGGUAUGUGCAGAAGAAGGACCGGCCAACUACGUG